This 460-nucleotide ribosomal RNA is filed under the name uncultured bacterium. RNAcentral's name for it is "partial 16S ribosomal RNA". It matches the Rfam family "Bacterial small subunit ribosomal RNA", at positions 338 to 795 of the family's 1533-position model. The record is from RNAcentral.
CCUACGGGUGGCAGCAGUGAGGAAUAUUGGUCAAUGGACGAGAGUCUGAACCAGCCAAGUAGCGUGAAGGAUGACUGCCCUAUGGGUUGUAAACUUCUUUUAUAUGGGAAUAAAAUGUUCCACGUGUGGGAUUUUGUAUGUACCAUAUGAAUAAGGAUCGGCUAACUCCGUGCCAGCAGCCGCGGUAAUACGGAGGAUCCGAGCGUUAUCCGGAUUUAUUGGGUUUAAAGGGAGCGUAGGUGGAUUGUUAAGUCAGUUGUGAAAGUUUGCGGCUCAACCGUAAAAUUGCAGUUGAAACUGGCAGUCUUGAGUACAGUAGAGGUGGGCGGAAUUCGUGGUGUAGCGGUGAAAUGCUUAUAUAUCACGAAGAACUCCGAUUGCGAAGGCAGUUCACUGGACUGCAACUGACACUGAGGCUCGAAAGUGUGGGUAUCAAACAGGAUUAGAUACCCUUGUAGUC